RNAcentral lists this unclassified non-coding RNA (391 nucleotides) under soil metagenome. RNAcentral describes it as "partial contains 5.8S ribosomal RNA, internal transcribed spacer 2, and large subunit ribosomal RNA". The stretch from base 1 to 122 matches the Rfam family "5.8S ribosomal RNA", at positions 35 to 154 of the family's 154-position model. The record is from RNAcentral.
GAUGAAGAACGUAGCGAAAUGCGAUACUUGGUGUGAAUUGCAGAAUCCCGUGAACCAUCGAGUCUUUGAACGCAAGUUGCGCCCGAAGCCAUUAGGCCGAGGGCACGCCUGCCUGGGCGUCACACGUCGUUGCCCCCCCAUCUACUCCUUCGGGAUUGCCGGGGGCGGAUGAUGGCCUCCCGUGCGCCUCGCCGCGCGGUUGGCAUAAAUGCCAAGUCCUCGGCGACGCACGCCACGACAAUCGGUGGUUGCGAAACCUCGGUUGCCCGUCGUGUGCGGUCGUCGCGCAUCGAGGGCUCGAAAAAAUUGCCGGGUUCCGGCUCGGCUUUCAACGCGACCCCAGGUCAGGCGGGGUUACCCGCUGAAUUUAAGCAUAUCAAUAAGCGGAGGA